RNAcentral lists this ribosomal RNA (449 nucleotides) under uncultured bacterium. Its description in RNAcentral is "partial 16S ribosomal RNA". It matches the Rfam family "Bacterial small subunit ribosomal RNA", at positions 29 to 523 of the family's 1533-position model. The record is from RNAcentral.
AAUGAACGAUGGCCGCAUGCCAAACACAUACAAGCCGAACGAAGGCUUCGGCCUUAGUGGCGCACGGGUGCGUUACGCGUGGGAAUCUGCCCUCAGGUUCGGAAUAACAGCGAGAAAUUGCUGCUAAUACCGGAUGAUAUCGCGAGAUCAAAGAUUUAUCGCCUGAGGAUGAGCCCGCGUAGGAUUAGCUAGUUGGUGUGGUAAAGGCGCACCAAGGCGACGAUCCUUAGCUGGUAUGAGCGGAUGAUCAGCCACACUGGGACUGAGACACGGCCGAGACUCCUACGGGAGGCAGCAGUGGGGAAUAUUAGACAAUGGGCGAAAGCCUGUUCCAGCAAUGCCGCGUGAGUGAUGAAGGCCUUAGGGUUAUAAAGCUCUUUUACCCGGGAUGAUAAUGACAGUACUGGGAGAAUAAGCUCCGGCUAACUCCGUGCCAGCCGCCGCAGUAA